CCGCCACUAGCUCAGCUGGACAGAGCCGAUAACCUGAGGUUGUAGGUGCGGGGUUCGAGGCCCCGGUGGCGGACCA
This 76-nucleotide transfer RNA is filed under the name Lelliottia jeotgali. Its description in RNAcentral is "tRNA-Xxx". The record is from RNAcentral. RNAcentral also lists the same sequence under 1 other name. Lineage: Bacteria; Pseudomonadati; Pseudomonadota; Gammaproteobacteria; Enterobacterales; Enterobacteriaceae.